Molecule: ribosomal RNA, 1047 nt
Filed under: unidentified archaeon
Lineage: Archaea
Description: 16S ribosomal RNA
Source: RNAcentral
GGGUCUCGCUCGUUGCCUGACUUAACAGGAUGCUUCACUGUACGAACUGACGACGGCCAUGCACCACCUCUCAGCUAAUCCGGCAAAGUCUUCAGCCUGGCCUUCAUAUUGCUGUCGGUCCCGGUAAGAUUUCCGGCGUUGAAUCCAAUUAAACCGCAAGCUCCACCCGUUGUGGUGCUCCCCCGCCAAUUCCUUUAAGUUUCAGCCUUGCGGCCGUACUUCCCAGGUGGCUCGCUUCACGGCUCCCCUACGGCACCGACAACGGUCGCACCGUGGCCGACACCUAGCGAGUAUCGUUUACGGCUAGGACUACCCGGGUAUCUAAUCCGGUUCGUGCCCCUAGCUUUCGUCCCUUGCCGUCAGGUCCGUUCUGGUGAGACGCCUUCGCCACUGGUGGUCCUUCAAGGAUUACAAGAUUUCACCCCUUACCCCUGAAGUACCUCUCACCUCUCCCGGCCUCGAGCCAGACAGUAUCUCCUGAAAGCCUGACAGUUAAGCUGCCAGAUUUCUCAAGAGACUUAUCCGGCCGGCUACAGACCCUUUAGACCCAAUAAUAACGGUUACCACUCGAGCCGCCGGUGUUACCGCGGCGGCUGGCACCGGUCUUGCCCGGCCCUUGCUAUGAAAUGCUUUUUUAGGCAUCUCGACAGCCAGAUUUGUAACCUGGCACUCGAGGGUCCCUUAUCGCUGUUGCCAGCAUUGUAAAGUUUUCGCGCCUGCUGCACCCCGUAGGGCCUGGAUUCGUGUCUCAGAAUCCAUCUCCGGGCUCUUGCUCUCACAACCCGUACCCGUCGUAGGCUAGUAGGUACGCUACACCCACUACUACCUGAUAGGCCGCAGACCCAUCCUUAGGCGCCGGAGCUUUUAAUCUCGGUGCAUUCCAGCAGCCGAGACUUAUAGGGGAUUAUACCCAGUUUCCCGGGUUUAUACCCAACCUAAGGGCAGGUUGUCCACGUGUUACUGAGCAGUACGCCAUGUAUUGCUACAUUCGACUCGCAUGGCUUAGUCGAACCUCGAUAGCAGUAACCUCUGGCAGGAUCAACCAGA